GUUUAUAUAAUUUAAAAAAAAUAUUGGUCUUGUAAACCAAAAAUAAGAAAUUCUUUUUAAACU
RNAcentral lists this transfer RNA (63 nucleotides) under Salpingus aeneus. RNAcentral's name for it is "tRNA-Thr". It matches the Rfam family "tRNA". Rfam says of the family: Transfer RNA (tRNA) molecules are approximately 80 nucleotides in length. Their secondary structure includes four short double-helical elements and three loops (D, anti-codon, and T loops). The record is from RNAcentral. Lineage: Eukaryota; Metazoa; Arthropoda; Insecta; Coleoptera; Salpingidae.